This 620-nucleotide ribosomal RNA is filed under the name Salmonella enterica subsp. enterica serovar Enteritidis. RNAcentral describes it as "partial 23S ribosomal RNA". It matches the Rfam family "Bacterial large subunit ribosomal RNA", at positions 1 to 584 of the family's 2925-position model. The record is from RNAcentral. Lineage: Bacteria; Pseudomonadati; Pseudomonadota; Gammaproteobacteria; Enterobacterales; Enterobacteriaceae.
GGGUUGUGAGGUUAAGCGACUAAGCGUACACGGUGGAUGCCCUGGCAGUCAGAGGCGAUGAAGGGCGUGCUAAUCUGCGAUAAGCGCCGGUAAGGUGAUAUGAACCGUUAUAACCGGCGAUACCCGAAUGGGGAAACCCAGUGUGACUCGUCACACUAUCAUUAACUGAAUCCAUAGGUUAAUGAGGCGAACCGGGGGAACUGAAACAUCUAAGUACCCCGAGGAAAAGAAAUCAACCGAGAUUCCCCCAGUAGCGGCGAGCGAACGGGGAGGAGCCCAGAGCCUGAAUCAGCAUGUGUGUUAGUGGAAGCGUCUGGAAAGGCGCGCGAUACAGGGUGACAGCCCCGUACACAAAAGCGCAUGUGCUGUGAGCUCGAUGAGUAGGGCGGGACACGUGGUAUCCUGUCUGAAUAUGGGGGGACCAUCCUCCAAGGCUAAAUACUCCUGACUGACCGAUAGUGAACCAGUACCGUGAGGGAAAGGCGAAAAGAACCCCGGCGAGGGGAGUGAAAAAGAACCUGAAACCGUGUACGUACAAGCAGUGGGAGCCCCACCACCAAAGCAUUUGCUGUACCGCGUUGACGGAGCGAAGCGACGUCAAACCGAUAAAACAGCAGUGU